This 468-nucleotide ribosomal RNA is filed under the name uncultured bacterium. RNAcentral's name for it is "partial 16S ribosomal RNA". It matches the Rfam family "Bacterial small subunit ribosomal RNA", at positions 28 to 507 of the family's 1533-position model. The record is from RNAcentral.
GAUGAACGCUGGCGGCGUGCUUAACACAUGCAAGUCGAACGGAAAGGCCAGUGCUUGCCCUGGUACUCGAGUGGCGAACGGGUGAGUAACACGUGGGUGAUCUGCCCUGUACUUCGGGAUAAGCUUGGGAAACUGGGUCUAAUACCGGAUAGGACAACUUUUUGGAUAUUGUUGUGGAAAGCUUUUGCGGUUUGGGAUGAGCUCGCGGCCUAUCAGCUUGUUGGUGGGGUAAUGGCCUACCAAGGCGUCGACGGGUAGCCGGCCUGAGAGGGUGUACGGCCACAUUGGGACUGAGAUACGGCCCAGACUCCUACGGGAGGCAGCAGUGGGGAAUAUUGCACAAUGGGCGCAAGCCUGAUGCAGCGACGCCGCGUGGGGGAUGAAGGCCUUCGGGUUGUAAACUCCUUUCGCUAGGGACGAAGCUUUUUUGUGACGGUACCUGGAGAAGAAGCACCGGCUAACUACGUG